Mytilus californianus (California mussel) is the source of this 200-nucleotide long non-coding RNA. RefSeq lists it as uncharacterized. NCBI's taxonomy places the organism in Eukaryota, Metazoa, Mollusca, Bivalvia, Mytilida, Mytilidae. The record is from RefSeq and is a predicted model, not a curated record. The transcript is spliced from 2 exons.
GGAAACGGCGGCCAUUUUUUACCAUUCCAUAGCAAGGUGCACAACUUUACAUGGGGGUCCUCAUUAUAGUAGAGUUCCAUCAACAUUGGUCCAUUGGAUUCCAAGAACUCGCGCGGACAAAAUGUGUGGAAGAAAAAUAAGAAAAAAAAAAGAAACGUAGAAUAACAGUAUGUCACCCCAAUUCCGUUGAGGGUGCCAUA